This 320-nucleotide ribosomal RNA is filed under the name uncultured eukaryote. RNAcentral's name for it is "partial 18S ribosomal RNA". It matches the Rfam family "Eukaryotic small subunit ribosomal RNA", at positions 1470 to 1796 of the family's 1831-position model. The record is from RNAcentral.
CCCCUAGAUGUUCUGGGCCGCACGCGCGCUACACUGAACAGUUCAACAAGUCUUAACCUUGGCCGAUAGGUCUGGGUAAUCUUUGAACGCUGUUCGUGAUUGGGAUAGACCUUUGCAAUUAUGGGUCUUCAACGAGGAAUUCCUAGUAAACGCAAGUCAUCAGCUUGCAUUGAUUACGUCCCUGCCCUUUGUACACACCGCCCGUCGCACCUACCGAUGGAAUGGUCCGGUGAAAUCUCGGGACGGCGGCUUGGUCGCUUGCGUCCGACUGCUGAAACUUGAUUAAACCAUAUCAUUUAGAGGAAGGUGAAGUCGUAACA